GGAACCUGCUCUCCAUCCUCCCAUCUGCCAGGGAUGAAAACGCUCUCAUCACUUGGACACACCCUAAAUCCAGGGAGGACUGAUGAGAAUACAAACACAAGUUGCCAUGUGCUAUGGGCUGAACUGAAUCCCUCCCAAAUUCCUGCGUUGAAGCCCUAAUCCCCUGUACCUCAGAAUGUGACUAGAUUUGGAGAUCAGCCCUCUAAAGAGGUAAUUAAGGUAAAAUGAGGUCACUAGGCUGGGCCGUGAUCCAAUGUGACUGGUGUCCUCAAAAGGAGGCAAUGAGGACGACACACACAGAGGGCAGACCACAUGAGGACACAGCAACAGGAGACAUCUGCCAGACAAGGAGAGAGGCCUCAGAAGGAACCGACCCUGCCAGCACCUUGAUCUUGGACUUCCAGCCCUCACAACUGAUCAUCCUGCACGGGGCUUGGAUGUUGACAACAAGCUGAGCCUGUGUCCAUGGACCUACUAGAUGUUAACGACUUGGUUAGAAGAUGGGGGCAGUAGGAAAGCUCAUUUAGUGAGGGAGACACUGGUAUCACCAACCCUAGGGUUUGGAAAAGGAGAACAACCAAGAGGGGUGCUGGGGAGCAGGGCUAGAAAGAAGGGGAGGGGAGAAACUUAAGAAAUAAGAGAAAGAGGGAAGAAAAGGAGAGAGGGAGAGGGAUGUGAAAGAUAAGAGGAAGGGUCAGGCUGUCCCUGGUAGGGAAAACCAACGUGGCGGAGCAAGAAAAGUCCUCCACACCCUAUUCCAGCCCCAUGGGUGUCACUGCAAUCUGUGAUGUGCAAAGAACCUCUCUGAACUUAAGGAGUUACAAAACACCAGAGAGGUGAUUACUUUGUGUCUGCCCUCAGCCUUCACUUCUCUUAUUAUCUGCAAUAGACUAAAUAAUUAUGCCCCCCACUCCAAAGUCAUAUGCUGAAAUCCUAACCCUCAAGGUGACAUUAGGGGUAAGAUCUUUGGGGGGUGUUGAGGUCAUGAGGGUGGAGCCAAAUAAUUAUUCCCCCCACCCCAAAUUUCCUUAUACUGAAAUCCUAAAGCCCAAGGUGAUAUUAGGGGUGAAAGCUUUGGGGGCUGUUGAGGUCAUGAGUUGGAGCCUUCAUGAAUGGGACUAGUGCUAUUAUAAAAGAGACCCCAGAGAGAUCCCUCUCCUAUUCCACCGUGAAGACUCAGCAAGAAGGCGCCAUCUAUGAACCAGGAAGUGGCCCUCGCCACACACCAAAUCUGCUGGCGACUUGAUCUUGGACUUUCCAGCCCCCAGAACUGUGAAAAAUAAA
This 1284-nucleotide long non-coding RNA is filed under the name Homo sapiens (human). RNAcentral's name for it is "HSALNT0133982". The record is from RNAcentral. Lineage: Eukaryota; Metazoa; Chordata; Mammalia; Primates; Hominidae.